This 327-nucleotide ribosomal RNA is filed under the name Bacillus sp. ML-16. RNAcentral describes it as "partial 16S ribosomal RNA". It matches the Rfam family "Bacterial small subunit ribosomal RNA", at positions 561 to 886 of the family's 1533-position model. Lineage: Bacteria; Bacillati; Bacillota; Bacilli; Caryophanales; Bacillaceae. The record is from RNAcentral.
GUAAGGGCUCGCAGGCGGUUNCUUAAGUCUGAUGUGAAAGCCCCCGGCUCACCCGGGNAGGGUCAUUGGAAACUGGGGAACUUGAGUGCAGAAGAGGAGAGUGGAAUUCCACGUGUANCGGUGAAAUGCGUAGAGAUGUGGAGGAACACCAGUGGCGAAGGCGACUCUCUGGUCUGUAACUGACGCUGAGGAACGAAAGCGUGGGGAGCGAACAGGAUUANAUACCCUGGUANACCACGCCGNNAACGAUGAGUGCUAAGUGUUGGGGGGUUUCCGCCCCUUAGUGCUGCAGAUAACGCAUUAUGCACUCUGCGUGUGGAGGAGGGU